Non-coding RNA from Lentithecium fluviatile CBS 122367, 147 nucleotides. The record is from the annotation of a GenBank genome assembly. NCBI's taxonomy places the organism in Eukaryota, Fungi, Ascomycota, Dothideomycetes, Pleosporales, Lentitheciaceae.
AGUCCUGUGGUCUAGUGGUAGUAGGUUCAGCCUUACUCUCUUAAAAGAAACCCUAACUAACAAAAGGCAGUGACGUCCGCCUCACAUUCGUCACGUGAUUGUGGCUUUGCGCGCGGCAGGUCCCGGGUUCGAUCCCCGGCGGGACUA